RNAcentral lists this unclassified non-coding RNA (217 nucleotides) under Hevea brasiliensis (rubber tree). Lineage: Eukaryota; Viridiplantae; Streptophyta; Magnoliopsida; Malpighiales; Euphorbiaceae. The record is from RNAcentral.
AGGACAACUCAGAGGUUUCAUCAAUUUCACUUCUGUUUGGAGUUGAAUGAUUUCUAAUCAUAUUCCUCAAAUUCUGAUGGUAAGGUCCACAAUUUUUCUUGGGAACAAAUAUGGAUGCAUUCGGGGACAAUUAUGAACCUUGUUUACACUAAUAUCCUUCAAAAUGAUAAAGAAGAUGCUUGUCCUGAUAUGUACAAAUAGAUAUUCUGUAAGCUAG